This 392-nucleotide ribosomal RNA is filed under the name uncultured bacterium. Its description in RNAcentral is "partial 16S ribosomal RNA". It matches the Rfam family "Bacterial small subunit ribosomal RNA", at positions 523 to 918 of the family's 1533-position model. The record is from RNAcentral.
AUACGUAUGGGGCGAGCGUUAUCCGGAAUUAUUGGGCGUAAAGAGUACGUAGGUGGUUUUUUAAGCGGGAGGUUUAAGGCUACGGCUUAACCGUAGUUCGCCUCUCGAACUGGAAGACUUGAGUGCAGGAGAGGAAAGCGGAAUUCCUAGUGUAGCGGUGAAAUGCGUAGAUAUUAGGAGGAACACCGGUGGCGAAGGCGGCUUUCUGGACUGUAACGGUCACGGAGGUACGAAAGCGUGGGGAGCAAACAGGAUUAGAUACCCUGGUAGUCCACGCCGUAAACGAUGAGCACUAGGUGUCGGGUCAAAAGGCUCGGUGCCGAAGUUAACGCAUUAAGUGCUCCGCCUGGGGAGUACGUACGCAAGUAUGAAACUCAAAGGAAUUGACGGGG